Long non-coding RNA from Magnolia sinica, 234 nucleotides. RefSeq lists it as uncharacterized. Lineage: Eukaryota; Viridiplantae; Streptophyta; Magnoliopsida; Magnoliales; Magnoliaceae. The transcript has 3 exons. The record is from RefSeq and is a predicted model, not a curated record.
ACUGAGAUUACUGGAAUUUCUGCUAAGGAUUUGGAAGGAGUUACCUCUUCUUUGGUAGAUUUACAGAAAUCUUUGAAGAAGCUGUUGUCACAUGAGACUAUUUUAGUAGGCCAUAGUUUACAUAAUGAUCUACAAGCACUAAAACUAAAUCAUGCAAGAGUGAUUGACACGUCAUUUAUCUUCAAAUAUCUGGAUGAAACUACUCAUAGUACACCUCUGAAUAAUCUCUGCAAG